GACGAACGCUGGCGGCGUGCCUAAUACAUGCAAGUCGAACGAACUCUGGUAUUGAUUGGUGCUUGCAUCAUGAUUUACAUUUGAGUGAGUGGCGAACUGGUGAGUAGCACGUGGGAAACCUGCCCAGAAGCGGGGGAUAACACCUGGAAACAGAUGCUAAUACCGCAUAACAACUUGGACCGCAUGGUCCGAGUUUGAAAGAUGGCUUCGGCUAUCACUUUUGGAUGGUCCCGCGGCGUAUUAGCUAGAUGGUGGGGUAACGGCUCACCAUGGCAAUGAUACGUAGCCGACCUGAGAGGGUAAUCGGCCACAUUGGGACUGAGACACGGCCCAAACUCCUACGGGAGGCAGCAGUAGGGAAUCUUCCACAAUGGACGAAAGUCUGAUGGAGCAACGCCGCGUGAGUGAAGAAGGGUUUCGGCUCGUAAAACUCUGUUGUUAAAGAAGAACAUAUCUGAGAGUAACUGUUCAGGUAUUGACGGUAUUUAACCAGAAAGCCACGGCUAACUACGUGCCAGCAGCCGCGGUAAUACGUAGGUGGCAAGCGUUGUCCGGAUUUAUUGGGCGUAAAGCGAGCGCAGGCGGUUUUUUAAGUCUGAUGUGAAAGCCUUCGGCUCAACCGAAGAAGUGCAUCGGAAACUGGGAAACUUGAGUGCAGAAGAGGACAGUGGAACUCCAUGUGUAGCGGUGAAAUGCGUAGAUAUAUGGAAGAACACCAGUGGCGAAGGCGGCUGUCUGGUCUGUAACUGACGCUGAGGCUCGAAAGUAUGGGUAGCAAACAGGAUUAGAUACCCUGGUAGUCCAUACCGUAAACGAUGAAUGCUAAGUGUUGGAGGGUUUCCGCCCUUCAGUGCUGCAGCUAACGCAUUAAGCAUUCCGCCUGGGGAGUACGGCCGCAAGGCUGAAACUCAAAGGAAUUGACGGGGGCCCGCACAAGCGGUGGAGCAUGUGGUUUAAUUCGAAGCUACGCGAAGAACCUUACCAGGUCUUGACAUACUAUGCAAAUCUAAGAGAUUAGACGUUCCCUUCGGGGACAUGGAUACAGGUGGUGCAUGGUUGUCGUCAGCUCGUGUCGUGAGAUGUUGGGUUAAGUCCCGCAACGAGCGCAACCCUUAUUAUCAGUUGCCAGCAUUAAGUUGGGCACUCCGGUGAGACUGCCGGUGACAAACCGGAGGAAGGUGGGGAUGACGUCAAAUCAUCAUGCCCCUUAUGACCUGGGCUACACACGUGCUACAAUGGAUGGUACAACGAGUUGCGAACUCGCGAGAGUAAGCUAAUCUCUUAAAGCCAUUCUCAGUUCGGAUUGUAGGCUGCAACUCGCCUACAUGAAGUCGGAAUCGCUAGUAAUCGCGGAUCAGCAUGCCGCGGUGAAUACGUUCCCGGGCCUUGUACACACCGCCCGUCACACCAUGAGAGUUUGUAACACCCAAAGUCGGUGGGGUAACCUUUUAGGAACCAGCCGCCUAAGGUGGGACAGAUGAUUAGGGUGAAG
Molecule: ribosomal RNA, 1492 nt
Filed under: Lactiplantibacillus plantarum
Lineage: Bacteria; Bacillati; Bacillota; Bacilli; Lactobacillales; Lactobacillaceae
Description: bacterial SSU rRNA
Rfam family: Bacterial small subunit ribosomal RNA
Source: RNAcentral